GCUGGGUUUGCCAAAAUUAGUGCAAGAUCAAUAUGAGGAUUACGAGCAGCAACAGCAAGUGCAAGGCAUCCCCCAAAAGAUUCUCCAAGAAGAUAUAUGGGACGUCUUGGAGCAUGGUGAUGCUCUGAUCUAACAGUUGCUUCAACCAGGUACACCAGGUCUGAGAAUGAUGUUCGAUCUGUAACUGGAACGUGGAGACACCAUAUAUUGAAGAUCUUUCCAAGUCUUUUGUGAUGCUUUAUAAGGCCAAGUCCAACACCAUCAAUCCCUGGUAAGUAAAGCAAUAGAGGGGAGUCUUUCAGAGGAGCAGCGCAGUCCAAGGGUGAAAACCAGCGUGGUGGCCCACCUUCGGAUCCGGACGCAAUCAUAUCCUUGCUCCAUUUCAUGAAAUCUUUCAUAUUCAAAGUAGUUGUUUGCUCUAGCUCAGAGGAGUCAACUAUGGACAUCGGUACUGUUGGCGGUUGCUGGCCGAUAGAGGCAGUUGAUCUCCCAGUAGUUGCAGCUGUAGAUGCAAUUUUGAAUCUUGCGGAGGUGAUGCGGAGGCAUGAGUUCCGACUUUGGAGAAGCGGCGAGACACCGGCCGCGGUGUAAGUGCCGGCGGAUAUAGCCUCCAUGGACAAAAAUCUAUCAAAAUGUCUUUCGCUUUU
This 647-nucleotide unclassified non-coding RNA is filed under the name Hevea brasiliensis (rubber tree). Lineage: Eukaryota; Viridiplantae; Streptophyta; Magnoliopsida; Malpighiales; Euphorbiaceae. The record is from RNAcentral.